CGGGAGGCAGCAGUGGGGAAUAUUGCACAAUGGGCGCAAGCCUGAUGCAGCCAUGCCGCGUGUGUGAAGAAGGCCUUCGGGUUGUAAAGCACUUUCAGUCGUGAGGAAGGUAGUGUAGUUAAUAGCUGCAUUAUUUGACGUUAGCGACAGAAGAAGCACCGGCUAACUCCGUGCCAGCAGCCGCGGUAAUACGGAGGGUGCGAGCGUUAAUCGGAAUUACUGGGCGUAAAGCGCAUGCAGGUGGUUUGUUAAGUCAGAUGUGAAAGCCCGGGGCUCAACCUCGGAAUUGCAUUUGAAACUGGCAGACUAGAGUACUGUAGAGGGGGGUAGAAUUUCAGGUGUAGCGGUGAAAUGCGUAGAGAUCUGAAGGAAUACCGGUGGCGAAGGCGGCCCCCUGGACAGAUACUGACACUCAGAUGCGAAAGCGUGGGGAGCAAACAGGAUUAGAUACCCUGGUAGUCCACGCCGUAAACGAUGUC
Molecule: ribosomal RNA, 479 nt
Filed under: Vibrio parahaemolyticus
Lineage: Bacteria; Pseudomonadati; Pseudomonadota; Gammaproteobacteria; Vibrionales; Vibrionaceae
Description: bacterial SSU rRNA
Rfam family: Bacterial small subunit ribosomal RNA
Source: RNAcentral